This 148-nucleotide ribosomal RNA is filed under the name uncultured eukaryote. RNAcentral's name for it is "partial 18S ribosomal RNA". It matches the Rfam family "Eukaryotic small subunit ribosomal RNA", at positions 1299 to 1458 of the family's 1831-position model. The record is from RNAcentral.
UGGUGGAGUGAUUUGUCUGGUUAAUUCCGAUAACGAACGAGACUCUAGCCUGCUAAAUAGACGAACGAUGCGCUUGCGCGUCGUUUCGAUUCAUUGCUUCUUAGAGGGACAAGUGGCGUCUUUAGCCACGCGAAAUUGAGCAAUAACA